AGAGUCGGUGAAGGCUUUAAAGGAAGUAGGCAGCUGGAACCCGGCUGUGGCGGGUUGAAAAGCCCGGGCGUUUGAGAGCUGAGACUUGCCAGUUCCCACAGGCCAAGCCAGGCGUCUGCACCCCAUUCUCUUGGUUCCGACGAUGGAGUCUUGCUCUGUCACCCAGACUGGAGUACAGUGGUGUGAUCUCAGCUCACUGCAACCUCCACUUCCCAGGUUCAAGCGAUUUUCCUGCCCCAGCUUCCCGAGCAGCUGGGACUACAGAAUAUGCUCUCCAUGAGGGUGUUCUUCAGGGCCUACCACAAUGGCUGGCACUAGAGAAGGGCACAAAAUUGAAGAACAGUGAAGACAAAAGCAAUAAGAUGAUUAAGGCCAUGUGAGACAGCAACAAUAUCAGUGUCAACAGUGGCGGAAAGGGAAGUUUGUAUCACCUGUGUUAAUGCUGCUCUGGAAAGGGAGCCAGAAUGAGAGUGCACAGUGAUCACACAGUCACCAUCAAAUAAACCAUGACUACGCACAUACUCUGGGAUGGCUGCAUCUCUCCUGUGGGAAAGAGAGAGAUAGAAAGAGAGAGCAACAUGUCAUCCGAUGACUGCAGCCUAGAUGGAUAUGGCUGUGAUAGAGUGCUUCAAUUGGAAUCUGCCUCUUGUAACUGAAAAUUACUUUAAACAAUAAAAAGAAGUUAUUGACUCAUAGUCAAGAAAGCUUGACAGUGCUGCAGUGCAGUCCUUGGACUACAGUGGUCCACAAACUGUUAUUGGUCCACGAUAAGAUAUCUAUGUGGCUGCAAGAUCCACGUGCAUGACCCUUCUUUCCUACCUUGUUGAUGAUGCUACAGGAUAACGAGAACACCUGGGUUUAAGAGGCAUAGAAGAACCACUUUUUAUAAAGGAUACCUCCAGUGGAUGAAGCUAUAUGAUUCAUCUUUAUUGUGUGUUACAAAAGUAUCAGUCAAUAAAAUAACAAUAAAACUGAAAAUGAAACGGAAAACUGCUGUUAUUACAGACAGUUCGAAAAACAGUGGCCUAGAGUGGUGAUUCCCAGUCCUGGCUGCUCAACAGAACUACCUGGUGAGCUUUGACAACUCCCAGUAAUGAGGUUCAUUCCCAGGGAUUUUCAUUUAAUUGGCCUGGGGUGGGGCCAAAGCAUGGCUAGUUUUAGAAGCUUGCCAGGUAGUUCUAAUGUGUAGUGAGCGUUGAAAACUAGUGGUUUGGAUUCAGGUUGGCCUCAGCUGAGGCUUUAUCCAGUGGUCAGGAAUGUCACCAAGGCCUGGUGGUCUCAUAGCACUAAAUGGUCAUAUUAGAAAAGGAGAAAGAACUCAAAUCAAUGACCUCAGCUUCUACCUCAAGAAACUAGAAAAUGUUCAAGUUCUUCUGCUCUGACCUAAAAGGUGUAAAAAAAUAAAUGUAGGGGCCGGGCGCGGUGGCUCAGGCCUGUAAUCCCAGCACUUUGGGAGGCCGAGGCAGGCGGAUCACCUGAGGUCAGGAGUUUGAGACCAGCCUGGCAAACAUGGAGAAACCCCGUCUCUACUAAAAAUACAAAAUUAGCCAGGCGUGGUGGCGCAUGCCUGUAAUCCCAGCUACUCUAGAGGCUGAGGCAGGAGAAUCACUUGAACCUGGGAGGCAGAGGUUGUGAUGAGCUGAGAUCACGCCAUUGCACUCUAGCCUGGGCAACAAGAGCAAAAACUCAGUCUCAAAAAAAAAUUAAAAAAAAAAAUUUUAAAGAAACUAGAAAA
Molecule: long non-coding RNA, 1735 nt
Filed under: Homo sapiens (human)
Lineage: Eukaryota; Metazoa; Chordata; Mammalia; Primates; Hominidae
Description: non-protein coding CRTC3-AS1:9
Source: RNAcentral